Molecule: ribosomal RNA, 465 nt
Filed under: uncultured Klebsiella sp.
Lineage: Bacteria; Pseudomonadati; Pseudomonadota; Gammaproteobacteria; Enterobacterales; Enterobacteriaceae
Description: bacterial SSU rRNA
Rfam family: Bacterial small subunit ribosomal RNA
Source: RNAcentral
CCUACGGGAGGCAGCAGUGGGGAAUAUUGCACAAUGGGCGCAAGCCUGAUGCAGCCAUGCCGCGUGUGUGAAGAAGGCCUUCGGGUUGUAAAGCACUUUCAGCGGGGAGGAAGGCGGUGAGGUUAAUAACCUCAUCGAUUGACGUUACCCGCAGAAGAAGCACCGGCUAACUCCGUGCCAGCAGCCGCGGUAAUACGGAGGGUGCAAGCGUUAAUCGGAAUUACUGGGCGUAAAGCGCACGCAGGCUGUCUGUCAAGUCGGAUGUGAAAUCCCCGGGCUCAACCUGGGAACUGCAUUCGAAACUGGCAGGCUAGAGUCUUGUAGAGGGGGGUAGAAUUCCAGGUGUAGCGGUGAAAUGCGUAGAGAUCUGGAGGAAUACCGGUGGCGAAGGCGGCCCCCUGGACAAAGACUGACGCUCAGGUGCGAAAGCGUGGGGAGCAAACAGGAUUAGAUACCCGUGUAGUC